Molecule: ribosomal RNA, 421 nt
Filed under: uncultured bacterium
Lineage: Bacteria
Description: bacterial SSU rRNA
Rfam family: Bacterial small subunit ribosomal RNA
Source: RNAcentral
UGGGGAAUUUUGGACAAUGGGCGCAAGCCUGAACCAGCCAUGCCGCGUGCAGGAUGAAGCAUCUAUGGUGUGUAAACUGCUUUUGUACGGGAAGAAACCACCCCUCGUGAGGGGUAUUGACGGUACCGUAAGAAUAAGGAUCGGCUAACUCCGUGCCAGCAGCCGCGGUAAUACGGAGGAUCCAAGCGUUAUCCGGAAUCAUUGGGUUUAAAGGUCCGUAGGCGGGUCUGUAAGUCAGUGGUGAAAUCUCCCCGCUCAACGGGGAAACUGCCAUUGAUACUGCAGGUCUUGAAUUAUUGGGAAGUAACUAGAAUAUGUAGUGUAGCGGUGAAAUGCUUAGAUAUUACAUGGAAUACCAAUUGCGAAGGCAGGUUACUACUUGUGGAUUGACGCUGAUGGACGAAAGCGUGGGGAGCGAACA